This 492-nucleotide ribosomal RNA is filed under the name uncultured bacterium. RNAcentral's name for it is "partial 16S ribosomal RNA". It matches the Rfam family "Bacterial small subunit ribosomal RNA", at positions 29 to 507 of the family's 1533-position model. The record is from RNAcentral.
AGUGAACGCUGGCGGUAGGCCUAACACAUGCAAGUCGAACGGCAGCACAGUAAGAGCUUGCUCUUACGGGUGGCGAGUGGCGGACGGGUGAGGAAUACAUCGGAAUCUACUUUUUCGUGGGGGAUAACGUAGAGAAACUUACGCUAAUACCGCAUCCGACCUACGGGCGAAAGCAGUGGAUCUUCGGACCUUGCGCGAUUGAAUGAGCCGAUGUCGGAUUAGCUAGUUGGCGGGGUAAAGGCCCACCAAGGCGACGAUCCGUAGCUGGUCUGAGAGGAUGAUCAGCUACACUGGAACUGAGACACGGUCCAGACUCCUACGGGAGGCAGCAGUGGGGAAUAUUGGACAAUGGGCGCAAGCCUGAUCCAGCCAUACCGCGUGGGUGAAGAAGGCCUUCGGGUUGUAAAGUCCUUUUGUUGGGAAAGAAAAGCAGCAGGUUAAUACCCCGCUGUUCUGACGGUACCCAAAGAAUAAGCACCGGCUAACUUCGUG